RNAcentral lists this transfer RNA (91 nucleotides) under Gammaproteobacteria bacterium. Its description in RNAcentral is "tRNA-Ser". It matches the Rfam family "tRNA". From Rfam's summary of the family: Transfer RNA (tRNA) molecules are approximately 80 nucleotides in length. Their secondary structure includes four short double-helical elements and three loops (D, anti-codon, and T loops). Lineage: Bacteria; Pseudomonadati; Pseudomonadota; Gammaproteobacteria. The record is from RNAcentral.
GGAGAGGUGUCCGAGUGGCUUAAGGAGCACGCCUGGAAAGUGUGUAUACGUUAACAGCGUAUCGCGGGUUCGAAUCCCGCCCUCUCCGCCA